RNAcentral lists this long non-coding RNA (629 nucleotides) under Gallus gallus (chicken). RNAcentral's name for it is "lncRNA (ENSGALG00010005751.1)". The record is from RNAcentral. Lineage: Eukaryota; Metazoa; Chordata; Aves; Galliformes; Phasianidae.
AAAUUUCUGGCAUUUAAAGGAGCAGAUGUGACGGAUGGUGAAGAGAACUGUAUGCACCAUCCUCUUGUUUGCUUAUGCGUGGUGCAGAGUCUUUGGAGAAUAGAAUAAAGGUAAAAAUUACCCGCAAAAAUGUAAUAAUCCUAAUACGUGUUCCUUGCCUUCCUUUAGGUUACUGAGAGGAAUAAGUCCAAGUUCCUGUUUCUUAAUGUCCAUGAGCAUCAGCCGGCCCAUAGCAGCCAGUAUAGACCAUUUGUCCUGGGUUCUGUCCAGAAUUCUGAUGCAGUGUUACGCUUAUGGGAUUCCCAGGCAGAAGGCAAGGCACAGUGCAGGAUCUCUCCAACUCUCCUGACUGUCCCACAGGUUGUGGAAAAUGAUCAUGGAAUCAUAGGCUGGUUUAAGUUUGAAGGAACAUCAAAGAUCAUCUGGUCCCAACCACCUACCGUGGGCAGGGCUGCCACCCGCUAGAUCGGAAUGCCCAGGGUCCCAUCAACCUGGCCUUCAAUGCCUCCAGGCAUCCACAGCCUCUCCAGGCAGCCUGUGCCAGUGCCUCACCACCCUCUGUGUAAAGUGUUUCUUCCUAACAGCUAACCUAAAUUGUCCCUCUUUUAUUCUGCAUGGGAACUGUCAAG